Molecule: long non-coding RNA, 1749 nt
Filed under: Medicago truncatula (barrel medic)
Lineage: Eukaryota; Viridiplantae; Streptophyta; Magnoliopsida; Fabales; Fabaceae
Description: lncRNA gene13206
Source: RNAcentral
CUCAAAAGUCAAAAGUACCUCCUCAUGUGUAACAAUAGUAGCUGUAGCUCAUCUCUUAUAUGGCUUCAAAUGAUAAUUUUGAAACUCUGAACCAAAUGUUAUGGACUCUUGAUCAAGCCUCUUCUUCAAUCUCCUCCAAGUCCUCAACAUAUCAGACUGAAUGAGACCUCUAUAUAGUGUCUCAAAUGUAACUUUCUGAGGAAGAAACCCCUUUUCUAUCAUCUCAACAAAAUAUUGGCAAGCCUCCCUCCAUUUCUUGCUCUCACACAACCCAUGUAUCAAAACCGUAUACGAAUCUAAAUCCGGUCCAACCCCACUCUCCAUCAUAUCAUUCCAAAUCUCCUUAACAACACCAAUCAUAUCCGCCUUCAAAAACAUGGCAAUCAAAACCCCAUAGGUAUGUGUCGUCGGCUCACACAACCCAUCCUCCUUCAUCUUCUUAAAAAACUUCAAAGCCUUAUCUGCAUCCUUCCUCCCUCUAUACUCCUUAAAGAAACAAUUAUACGUCGCAGCACAAGGACUCACACCAUUCCUCACCAUCUCAUCAAUCAAAUCCUCCGCCUCUUCAAUCCUCCCACACGAACAAAGACACUUAAUCACCGACGUAUAAGUGACCACAUUCGGACAAAUCCCUUUCUCCUUCAUCAAACCCAACUUAUCCAAAACCAACUGCGGCUUAUGCGCCCUACUAUAAACAUGCAAAACAAUCGAAAAGCUAGUCACAUCCGGCUCAAUCCCACUCUCACGCAUUUCAUCAAACACCUUCUCUGCAUCCCUUAUAGUCCUCUCAAAUCUCUCCUCCGGAUGCAAACUUGCCUUUCGACAUAUCCCAUUCAAUAUCACAUUAUAAGUAACAACAUUUGGUUCAACUCCUUUCACCUUCAUCUCAUUCAAAAACGACAAUGCCGUCUUAAACCUUCCAAUCUUACACCAACCAUAUAUCAAAACAGUAUACAUUUUGACAUCAGCUACAAAUCUAUUAGAAUUUCUGUUAAACAACUCGCAAGCGUGUUUAACGUAACCAUACUUACAUAACGUGUCAAGCAAGUAAGUGAAAUGGUCUGAUGUUAAUUUAGUAUCUGUAUACGAUUCGAUUUCAUUGAAAGCGCGAACGGCUUGACGGGUUAAAUUAGCAGAGAUAAGUCUUUUAAUGAGGAUGAAAAAAGUGGUGGGUGUAGGAGGGAGGUUAAUUUGGUCCAUUUCAACAAUGAGUUGCGAAGCGAGGUCGAAUUGAUGAACUUUGGAGACAAUAUCAAUGAGGAGAUUGUAGGAUUGAAGAGAGAGAGGUGGGUUUGGGAGAGAUUUGGAGAAAUUGUGAAGGGAAAGAGCGAUUUUGGAGUGGUGUUUGAGGAGAGUUAGGGUUUGGGUUAAGAGAAUUGGGGUUAGGGUUAUGCCAUUGAGUUGAAGGGAAGAUUCUGUGAAGUGGUAAGGGUUGUGGUGUGUUAGGAGUAUUUUGGAGAUUAAUUCGGCGUCGUUUUGGGUUUGUGAAGAGAUUGAAGAGAAGAAGCGUGUGAUGGAGGAGUUGAAAUUGCGGUGUGAGGGUUUCAGAAGAAACGCCAUUUUUGAGUGAAUGAGACCUAAAGCAUGAGCAAGAAGAUGAAGUAUAAAAAAUAUGGACUGAAUAUGGACGAACGAAAGUCGUUUCAAAUUAUAGUGACUUACAUAGUUUAAGGAUUAAUUUGAUUUUUAAUGAAUAAUUCAGGGAUCGGUUUACCAAUUUGUAAUGAUUUUUGUUUCAUAAAAAAAAAA